Molecule: ribosomal RNA, 889 nt
Filed under: Melaspilea sp.
Lineage: Eukaryota; Fungi; Ascomycota; Dothideomycetes; Eremithallales; Melaspileaceae
Description: SSU rRNA
Rfam family: Bacterial small subunit ribosomal RNA
Source: RNAcentral
AAUAGCCUAACGGCUGAACCAGCUAUUUGGUGGAAUGUAAUCGUUUUCAACGUGCACAGUAUAUUUUUAAACUGUGUAUCAACUAUGUUGAAUAAAGUUCUGGGUAGGUGACUGAUAAUGACAAUUAUCUACUCACAUAUCUUGACCAAUGCUUGUGCCAGCAGUCGCGGUAACACAAGUAAGAUUAGUGUUAUUCAUCUUUAUUAGGUUUAAAGCGUACCUAGACAGCAUUUCUAACUUCCAAAAAGUAAGGAUUUGCUAGAGUUUUAUAUGAGAGGUAAAUAUUAGAACUAUUGGUGUAAAGAUGAAAUUUUUUGAUACUAAUAGAAUGUAUAACGGCGAAGGCAACCCUCUAUGUACAAACUGACGUUAAAGGACGAAGGCUUGGGGAGCGAAUAGGAUUAGAUACCCUAGUAGUCCAGGCAGAAAAUUAUGAAUGUUAUAUAUUAAAAAGUUGGUGUAUAAAUUAAAGUGUAAGCAUUCCACCUCAAGAGUAGUGUGGCAACACAGGAACUGAAAUCAUUAGACCGUUUCUGAAACCAGUAGUGAAGUAUGUUAUUUAAUUCGAUGACCCUCGAAAAAUCUUACCACAAUUUGAAUAGUAUUUAAAUAAAUCUAUCUUCAGGUUUUUGAUUUGUUUAGAUGCUACAAGCGUUGCACGGCUGUCUAAAGCUAAUGUUGUGAGACUUUGGUUAGAUCCAUUAAAUUAGCGUAACCCCUUCCUUUAUUUAUUAAUAAUGAGGAAAUAGAAUACAUGGAUAAUUAUCCAUGGGGAAGAAGACAAGUCAUCAUGACCUUAAUAUUGUGGGCUAUAGACGUGCCACAUAUAUUUGCACAAAGAGAAAUAAAAAUGCAAAUUUAAAUUAAUCUCUAAAACAAAAUAUAAUAA